ACCAGGCUGGCUCAGUCAGUAGAGCAUGCAACUCUUGAUCUCAGGGUUGUGGGUUCAAGCCCCAUGUUGGGUG
Molecule: transfer RNA, 73 nt
Filed under: Mustela putorius furo (domestic ferret)
Lineage: Eukaryota; Metazoa; Chordata; Mammalia; Carnivora; Mustelidae
Also listed under: 1 other name
Rfam family: tRNA
About the family: Transfer RNA (tRNA) molecules are approximately 80 nucleotides in length. Their secondary structure includes four short double-helical elements and three loops (D, anti-codon, and T loops).
Source: Rfam by way of RNAcentral